AACACGAGGAUUAUAUGGUGUUGGCU
RNAcentral lists this non-coding RNA (26 nucleotides) under Bombyx mori (domestic silkworm). Lineage: Eukaryota; Metazoa; Arthropoda; Insecta; Lepidoptera; Bombycidae. The record is from RNAcentral.